This 908-nucleotide ribosomal RNA is filed under the name Penicillium vaccaeorum. RNAcentral's name for it is "LSU rRNA". It matches the Rfam family "Eukaryotic large subunit ribosomal RNA", at positions 38 to 965 of the family's 3401-position model. Lineage: Eukaryota; Fungi; Ascomycota; Eurotiomycetes; Eurotiales; Aspergillaceae. The record is from RNAcentral.
GCAUAUCAAUAAGCGGAGGAAAAGAAACCACCGGGAUUGCCCUAGUAACGGCGAGUGAAGCGGCAAGAGCUCAAAUUUGAAAGCUGGCCCCCUCGGGGUCCGCAUUGUAAUUUGCAGAGGAUGCUUCGGGAGCGGUCCCCAUCUAAGUGCCCUGGAACGGGCCGUCAUAGAGGGUGAGAAUCCCGUAUGGGAUGGGGUGCCCGCGCCCGUGUGAAGCUCCUUCGACGAGUCGAGUUGUUUGGGAAUGCAGCUCUAAUUGGGUGGUAAAUUUCAUCUAAAGCUAAAUAUUGGCCGGAGACCGAUAGCGCACAAGUAGAGUGAUCGAAAGAUGAAAAGCACUUUGAAAAGAGAGUUAAACAGCACGUGAAAUUGUUGAAAGGGAAGCGCUUGCGAUCAGACUCGCCCACGGGGUUCAGCCGGCAUUCGUGCCGGUGUACUUCCCCGCGGGCGGGCCAGCGUCGGUUUGGGCGGUCGGUCAAAGGCCCCUGGAAUGUAACGCCUCUCGGGGCGUCUUAUAGCCAGGGGUGCCAUGCGACCUGCCCGGACCGAGGAACGCGCUUCGGCUCGGACGCUGGCAUAAUGGUCGUAAGCGACCCGUCUUGAAACACGGACCAAGGAGUCUAACAUCUACGCGAGUGUUCGGGUGUCAAACCCGUGCGCGCAGUGAAAGCGAACGGAGGUGGGAACCCUCACGGGUGCACCAUCGACCGAUCCUGAUGUCUUCGGAUGGAUUUGAGUAAGAGCGUAGCUGUUGGGACCCGAAAGAUGGUGAACUAUGCCUGAAUAGGGCGAAGCCAGAGGAAACUCUGGUGGAGGCUCGCAGCGGUUCUGACGUGCAAAUCGAUCGUCAAAUUUGGGUAUAGGGGCGAAAGACUAAUCGAACCAUCUAGUAGCUGGUUCCUGCCGAA